UUCGNUCAGGCCUAACACAUGCAAGUCGAGCGCGUCCCUUCGGGGGCGAGCGGCGCACGGUGAGUAACGCGUGGGAACCUACCCUGGGGUAGGGGAUAACCGCUGGAAACGGCGGCUAAUACCCUAUACGUCCUGAGGGAGAAAGAUUUAUCGCCCUGGGAUGGGCCCGCGUCGGAUUAGCUAGUUGGUGGGGUAACGGCUCACCAAGGCGACGAUCCGUAGCUGGUCUGAGAGGAUGAUCACCCACACUGGGAUUGAGACACGGCCCAGACUCCUACGGGAGGCAGCAGUGGGGAAUAUUGGACAAUGGGCGCAAGCCUGAUCCAGCCAUGCCGCGUGAGUGAAGAAGNCCUUAGGGUUGUAAAGCUUCNCCCGCGAAGAUGAGACNGUAGC
RNAcentral lists this ribosomal RNA (393 nucleotides) under uncultured bacterium. RNAcentral's name for it is "bacterial SSU rRNA". It matches the Rfam family "Bacterial small subunit ribosomal RNA", at positions 39 to 457 of the family's 1533-position model. The record is from RNAcentral.